Malania oleifera is the source of this 153-nucleotide small nuclear RNA. RefSeq annotates it as U1 spliceosomal RNA. Lineage: Eukaryota; Viridiplantae; Streptophyta; Magnoliopsida; Santalales; Ximeniaceae. The record is from RefSeq and is a predicted model, not a curated record. The transcript has a single exon.
UUAAAUACGUGGAUGGGGUCGAGGGCUGAUCCAUAAGGGCUAUGGCCUAGGUGUGCAGCCUCCAUUGCAUUCGGACUCACCUAACAUCUCUCCAAGUGGGAGAGUGCACAUCAUUAUUUAAGGCAGCGGGGGCCUGUGCUCGCGCGGCUCCUA